AUUCUAGUCACCUAAACAAUUUAUUGCCUCACCAGUUAUCAAAUCAGAAUGGAUUUCCGCAGUUACCACCACAGCAACAGCAGCAGCAGCAUAGGUUGCAGCAUCCUGUUCAGCCUCCAUUUGGUGGUUCCCUACCAGGUUUUCAGUCCCAUCUUUUAAAUUCCCACCUGUCUUCGGGCCCACCCCACUUAAUGAACAAGUUGG
Molecule: unclassified non-coding RNA, 204 nt
Filed under: Hevea brasiliensis (rubber tree)
Lineage: Eukaryota; Viridiplantae; Streptophyta; Magnoliopsida; Malpighiales; Euphorbiaceae
Source: RNAcentral